AACCAGAAGGCGCARUGAAAGUGAAGGCACGGUUGCCGUGCUGAGGUGAGAGCUGUCCUCGGCAGCACAUCAUCGACCGAUCCCAUCCGCACCCUCGUGGCGCGGCGGGAUUCGAGUAAGAGUGUACCUGUUGCGACCCGAAAGAUGGUGAACUAUGCCUGAAUAGGGUGAAGCCAGAGGAAACUCUGGUGGAGGCCCGCAGCGAUUCUGACGUGCAAAUCGAUCGUCAAAUUUGGGUAUAGGGGCGAAAGACUAAUCGAACCAUCUAGUAGCUGGUUCCCUCCGAAGUUUCCCUCAGGAUAGCUGUAGCCCGAAGCAGUUUUAUCAGGUAAAGCGAAUGAUUAGAGGUAUCGGGGAAGAAACUUCCUCGACCUAUUCUCAAACUUUAAAUAGGUAAGAAGUCCGACUUGCUCAAUUUGAAGCCGGACACAGAAUGCUGGGUUACUAGUGGGCCAUUUUUGGUAAGCAGAACUGGCGAUGCGGGAUGAACCGAACGCUGAGUUAAGGUGCCAAAGUCGACGCUCAUCAGAUCCCACAAA
This 539-nucleotide ribosomal RNA is filed under the name Fascaplysinopsis reticulata. Its description in RNAcentral is "eukaryotic LSU rRNA". It matches the Rfam family "Eukaryotic large subunit ribosomal RNA", at positions 705 to 1218 of the family's 3401-position model. The record is from RNAcentral. Lineage: Eukaryota; Metazoa; Porifera; Demospongiae; Dictyoceratida; Thorectidae.